This 448-nucleotide ribosomal RNA is filed under the name uncultured bacterium. RNAcentral's name for it is "bacterial SSU rRNA". It matches the Rfam family "Bacterial small subunit ribosomal RNA", at positions 331 to 795 of the family's 1533-position model. The record is from RNAcentral.
CCAGACUCCUACGGGAGGCAGCAGUGGGGGAUAUUGCCCAAUGGGGGGAACCCUGAUGCAGCGACGCCGCGUGGGUGAAGAAGUAUUUCGGUAUGUAAAGCCCUAUCGGCAGGGAAGAAAUUGGACGGUACCUGACUAAGAAGCCCCGGCUAACUACGUGCCAGCAGCCGCGGUAAUACGUAGGGGGCAAGCGUUAUCCGGAUUUACUGGGUGUAAAGGGAGCGUAGACGGAUAAGCAAGUCUGAUGUGAAAAUCCGGGGCCCAACCCCGGAAUUGCAUUGGAAACUGCAUAUCUAGAGUGUCGGAGAGGCAAGUGGAAUUCCUGGUGUAGCGGUGAAAUGCGUAGAUAUCAGGAGGAACACCAGUGGCGAAGGCGGCUUGCUGGACGAUGACUGACGCUGAGGCGCGAAAGCGUGGGGAGCAAACAGGAUUAGAUACCCUAGUAAUG